This 351-nucleotide transfer-messenger RNA is filed under the name Erysipelotrichaceae bacterium. It matches the Rfam family "transfer-messenger RNA". Rfam says of the family: Bacterial tmRNA, also known as 10Sa RNA or SsrA, is named for its dual tRNA and mRNA-like properties. Its role is to liberate the mRNA from a stalled ribosome. To accomplish this part of the tmRNA is used as a reading frame that ends in a translation stop signal. Lineage: Bacteria; Bacillati; Bacillota; Erysipelotrichia; Erysipelotrichales; Erysipelotrichaceae. The record is from RNAcentral.
GGGGAUGUAUUUGGUCUCGACAGGAUUAUGCUGGAUCGCAGUGGCAGUGGAGUGAUGACCUAAUCAUCAAAUUAAAAUAAACGCUAACAAUACUGAAUUAGCAUUUGCCUAAGUAACGUCGAUAUAGACGCGGCAAGCCUGCAGCUGUAAAACUUGUAGCAGUUGCAGAGUAAAUACAAGUUAGGUGAAGUAAGUUAGCCUUCCUCUUACCAUCCGAAAACCGAAAAGGCAGAUUCGGGUCCUGGCAGUCCGGGCUAUAAGAUCCGUCUUAAAAUAAAUUCGGAAUAAACUGUAGAAACUGCGAUGUGGGGCUUUUUCUGGACAGGGGUUCGACUCCCCUCAUCUCCACCA